AUUGAACGCUAGCGGGAUGCCUUACACAUGCAAGUCGAACGGCAGCGCGGACUUCGGUCUGGCGGCGAGUGGCGAACGGGUGAGUAAUGUAUCGGAACGUGCCCAGUAGCGGGGGAUAACUACUCGAAAGAGUAGCUAAUACCGCAUACGCCCUACGGGGGAAAGGGGGGGAUCGCAAGACCUCUCACUAUUGGAGCGGCCGAUAUCGGAUUAGCUAGUUGGUGAGGUAAAGGCUCACCAAGGCGACGAUCCGUAGCUGGUUUGAGAGGACGAACAGCCACACUGGGACUGAGACACGGCCCAGACUCCUCCGGGAGGCAGCAGUGGGGAAUUUUGGACAAUGGGGGAAACCCUGAUCCAGCCAUUCCGCGUGUGCGAUGAAGGCCUUCGGGUUGUAAAGCACUUUUGGCAGGAAAGAAAUCGCAUGGAUUAAUACUCUGUGUGGAUGACGGUACCUGCAGAAUAAGCACCGGCUAACUACGUGCCAGCCGCCGCCGUAA
RNAcentral lists this ribosomal RNA (500 nucleotides) under uncultured bacterium. RNAcentral describes it as "partial 16S ribosomal RNA". It matches the Rfam family "Bacterial small subunit ribosomal RNA", at positions 30 to 523 of the family's 1533-position model. The record is from RNAcentral.